This 1216-nucleotide ribosomal RNA is filed under the name Ganoderma sinense. Its description in RNAcentral is "partial large subunit ribosomal RNA". It matches the Rfam family "Eukaryotic large subunit ribosomal RNA", at positions 55 to 1309 of the family's 3401-position model. The record is from RNAcentral. Lineage: Eukaryota; Fungi; Basidiomycota; Agaricomycetes; Polyporales; Polyporaceae.
GGAAAAGAAACCAACAGGGAUUGCCCUAGUAACGGCGAGUGAAGCGGCAACAGCUCAAAUUUGAAAUCUGGCUCUCGGGCCCGAGUUGUAAUUUGUAGAGGAUACUUUUGAUGCGGUGCCUUCCGAGUUCCCUGGAACGGGACGCCAUAGAGGGUGAGAGCCCCGUCUGGUUGGAUGCCAAAUCUCUGUAAGUUCCUUCGACGAGUCGAGUAGUUUGGGAAUGCUGCUCUAAAUGGGAGGUAUAUGUCUCUAAAGCUAAAUACCGGCCAGAGACCGAUAGCGCACAAGUAGAGUGAUCGAAAGAUGAAAAGCACUUUGAAAAGAGAGUUAAAAAGUACGUGAAAUUGUUGAAAGGGAAGCGUUUAUGACCAGACUUGGGCUGGUUAAUCAUCUGGGGUUCUCCCCAGUGCACUUUUCCAGUCCAGGCCAGCAUCAGUUUUCCCCGGGGGAUAAAGACUUCGGGAAUGUGGCUCUCUUCGGGGAGUGUUAUAGCCCGUUGUGUAAUACCCUGGGGGGGACUGAGGUUCGCGCAUCUGCAAGGAUGCUGGCGUAAUGGUCAUCAACGACCCGUCUUGAAACACGGACCAAGGAGUCGUCUUCGUAUGCGAGUGUUCGGUGUCAAACCCCUACGCGUAAUGAAAGUGAACGCAGGUGAGAGCUUCGGCGCAUCAUCGACCGAUCCUGAUGUUCUCGGAUGGAUUUGGUAAGAGCAUACGGGGCCGGACCCGAAAGAAGGUGAACUAUGCCUGUAUAGGGUGAGCCAGAGGAAACUCUGGUGGAGGCUCGCAGCGGUUCUGACGUGCAAAUCGAUCGUCAAAUAUGGGCAUGGGGGCGAAAGACUAAUCGAACCUUCUAGUAGCUGGUUUCCGCCGAAGUUUCCCUCAGGAUAGCAGUGUUGAACUCAGUUUUAUGAGGUAAAGCGAAUGAUUAGGGACUCGGGGGCGCUAUUUAGCCUUCAUCCAUUCUCAAACUUUAAAUAUGUAAGAAGCUCUUGUUGCUUAAUUGAACGUGAGCAUUCGAAUGUAUCAACACUAGUGGGCCAUUUUUGGUAGCAGAACUGGCGAUGCGGGAUGAACCGAACGCGAGGUUAAGGUGCCAGAGUAGACGCUCAUCAGACACCACAAAAGGUGUUAGUACAUCUUGACAGCAGGACGGUGGCCAUGGAAGUCGGAAUCCGCUAAGGACUGUGUAACAACUCACCUGCCGAAUGUACUAG